RNAcentral lists this small RNA (464 nucleotides) under Pongo abelii (Sumatran orangutan). Its description in RNAcentral is "processed transcript". The record is from RNAcentral. Lineage: Eukaryota; Metazoa; Chordata; Mammalia; Primates; Hominidae.
AGUGAAGAGAGGCAGGUGGCAACGUCCAAGUCUUUUACAAAGAAUAUCCCCGAUUGCAGUCAGAGAGAGAAGAGAAGGAAUAUGAAAUCUCAGUUUCCAGAGAGAGAUGCAGAUGCCAGAAGGGACAAUUAGAGAACUAACAAUGAGUUUCUCCAUCUGGAAAAAGUUGGAAGUCAAAGCAAGGAGGUCACUCGCUUUGGGGAAAGCCACCUGCCAUGCUGUGAGGACAUUCAAACUGCCUAUGGAGAGGUCCAUAUAGUGAAAAACUAAGGCCCCUGCCAAAACCCAUGUGAGCCAUCUUGGAAACAGAUCCUUCAGCCCUAGGCAAGCCGUUAGAUAAUGUAGUGCCAGCCAACAUCUUGACAGCAGCCUGCAAGAGACUCUGAGUUAGAAACACCCAGCAAAGCCAUUCCUGAAUUCCUGAUACUCAGAAUCAGCAUGAUAAUAGUAAAUGCUUAUUGUAA